GACGAACGCUGGCGGCGUGCCUAAUACAUGCAAGUAGAACGCUGAAGAGAGGAGCUUGCUCUUCUUGGAUGAGUUGCGAACGGGUGAGUAACGCGUAGGUAACCUGCCUUGUAGCGGGGGAUAACUAUUGGAAACGAUAGCUAAUACCGCAUAACAAUGGAUGACACAUGUCAUUUAUUUGAAAGGGGCAAUUGCUCCACUACAAGAUGGACCUGCGUUGUAUUAGCUAGUAGGUGAGGUAACGGCUCACCUAGGCGACGGUACAUAGCCGACCUGAGAGGGUGGUCGGCCACCCUGGGACUGGGACACGGCCCAGACUCCCUCGGGAGGCAGCAGGAGGGAAUCUUCGGCAAUGGGGGCAACCCUGACCGAGCAACGCCGCGUGAGUGAAGAAGGUUUUCGGAUCGUAAAGCUCUGUUGUAAGUCAAGAACGAGUGUGAGAGUGGAAAGUUCACACUGUGACGGUAGCUUACCAGAAAGGGACGGCUAACUACGUG
Molecule: ribosomal RNA, 497 nt
Filed under: uncultured bacterium
Lineage: Bacteria
Description: partial 16S ribosomal RNA
Rfam family: Bacterial small subunit ribosomal RNA
Source: RNAcentral